UGCGCCCUGGGGAGGAUGCGUCGCUUGGAGUGUCGGCCAGCUGCUGCUAAUAUGACUUGACUACUCGAGGAGUGCCUAUUAAGUCUGCUGGGUCUCAGAUCAGGAAGAAGGGCUAUGUGUAUUGGUACGUCUUAUCCAUGAAAAGGUGAAUCCUGCAGAACAGAGACCUCAUUGAAGACUGACAUGUCGUGGUUGGUUAUGACAAAUCACGAGGAAUUUGAGAUUAAGGAAUUAAGCAGCCUUUAAUAAAGCAAGAUGGACCAUGAAGAGUACUGGGAGAAAUGGGAAGGUCUCAGAUCCGGCAGCAUAAGGGCUGAAGCAACAUUCACAGUAUGGAUCAUGCGGAGGCCACGUGGUAUUAGCUCACUUGCUCUGCAGUUUAUUGAUUUGGCGCUGAGAAGCCUGAGAGAUAGUGGUGCUGGAGACUGGGAAAAAAAAUAGAGGAUCCAGAAGAAAGAACAAGAUACUAGAGUUGUGUGCACGCAUGUGAGAUCCUCCUCUCAGAAUGGAGACCUGCAGCUUCCAGAGAGAAGACCUUUUUGAAAGGAGAGCUUUGUUGGACCUCUGUGAAUUAAGGAAGCAAGCCAUGUGAAGUUCAGGUCAGGUGUGUGUCUGGAAACUAUACUAGGCAAAAGGACUGAAGGAAGGAUGAGUUUGGUGAGAACAACCUUGAUCUUCCUCAGUUGUCUCCCUCUGGCCAAACCCAACAAGCAGCUCGAGAUAUAAGGAGCGCACUGACCACAGUUGAUAUUGUUCAGUUUCCUGGGACAUAGGAGGGCAAACGAAGACCAUCCAGCACAGCCAGGCCCUGGAGGCUGACUGGCCAUUAAACACAGAAUGAUGACUGGUGCAGCAGGUGCAGCGAAGUGGGAAGGUGUGGAGCAAAUAAAACAAGUCCAUGGCAUCUAUAAGAAGUGUUGACCCCCAGGAAAUUUAAAGGUUCAUGCACUGUGGUAUUCAUGACGUAUGUGUGAGAGGCAUGAUGGCAAGUGUAUUUCUCAUGAAAGUACUUCAAUUACUUGCAUAUUGUUAUUUCUUUAGAAUUCCCAGGUCCUACACUAUACAAUUACUUAAGACUCAAAGAGACCUAUGACUUGCUUUGACAGAUUGUCCUUUAAUGCAAUGCAUUGGCCCAGUGUCAAUGGGAGUGUUGCCUGAGCUACACCCUUUGCUAAAAUAAUUUUCUAAACCUACUGCUGUGAGUCAACUGUUCUCUUCCCGUAAGUUUUCCUUGACACCCUUUGACAUCUGCAUCAAAUUGAAGCUUCUUAUUAGCACC
Camelus dromedarius (Arabian camel) is the source of this 1279-nucleotide long non-coding RNA. RefSeq lists it as uncharacterized. The transcript has 6 exons. The record is from RefSeq and is a predicted model, not a curated record. NCBI's taxonomy places the organism in Eukaryota, Metazoa, Chordata, Mammalia, Artiodactyla, Camelidae.